This 478-nucleotide ribosomal RNA is filed under the name uncultured bacterium. RNAcentral's name for it is "partial 16S ribosomal RNA". It matches the Rfam family "Bacterial small subunit ribosomal RNA", at positions 28 to 507 of the family's 1533-position model. The record is from RNAcentral.
GAUGAACGCUGGCGGCGUGCUUAACACAUGCAAGUCGAACGGGAAACCUUUUAUUGCUGCUUCGGCAGAUUUAGCUGGUUUCUAGGGGCGGAGGGGAGAGUAACGCGUGGGUAACCUGCCUUAUACAGGGGGAUAACAACCAGAAAUGGUUGCUAAUACCGCAUAAGCGCACGGGACCGCAUGGUCCGGCGUGAACAACUCCGGUGGGAUAAGAUGGAUCCGCGUUGGAUUAGCUAGUUGGCAGGGUAACGGCGUACCAAGGCGACGAUCCAUAGCCGGCCUGAGAGGGUGGACGGACACAUUGGGGCUGAGACACAGCCCAGACUCCUACGGGAGGCAGGAGUGGGGAAUAUUGCACAAUGGGGGAGACGCUGAUGCAGCGACGCCGCGUGAAGGAAGAAGUAUCUCGGUAUGUAAACUUCUAUCAGCAGGGAAGAUAGUGACGGUACCUGACUAAGAAGCCCCGGCUAACUACGUG